Molecule: ribosomal RNA, 253 nt
Filed under: uncultured bacterium
Lineage: Bacteria
Description: partial 16S ribosomal RNA
Rfam family: Bacterial small subunit ribosomal RNA
Source: RNAcentral
UACGGAGGGAGCUAGCGUUGUUCGGAAUUACUGGGCGUAAAGCGCACGUAGGCGGCUUUUUAAGUCAGGGGUGAAAUCCCGGGGCUCAACCCCGGAACUGCCUUUGAAACUGGAGAGCUAGAAUCUUGGAGAGGCGAGUGGAAUUCCGAGUGUAGAGGUGAAAUUCGUAGAUAUUGGGAAGAACACCGGUGGCGAAGGCGGCUCACUGGCUCGUAACUGACGCUCAUGCACGACAGCGUGGGGAUCAAACAGG